This 446-nucleotide ribosomal RNA is filed under the name uncultured Pseudomonas sp. Its description in RNAcentral is "bacterial SSU rRNA". It matches the Rfam family "Bacterial small subunit ribosomal RNA", at positions 936 to 1382 of the family's 1533-position model. Lineage: Bacteria; Pseudomonadati; Pseudomonadota; Gammaproteobacteria; Pseudomonadales; Pseudomonadaceae. The record is from RNAcentral.
AGCAUGUGGUUUAAUUCGAAGCAACGCGAAGAACCUUACCAGGCCUGACAUGCAGAGAACUUUCCAGAGAUGGAUUGGUGCCUUCGGGAACUCUGACACAGGUGCUGCAUGGCUGUCGUCAGCUCGUGUCGUGAGAUGUUGGGUUAAGUCCCGUAACGAGCGCAACCCUUGUCCUUAGUUACCAGCACGUUAUGGUGGGCACUCUAAGGAGACUGCCGGUGACAAACCGGAGGAAGGUGGGGAUGACGCCAAGUCAUCAUGGCCCUUACGGCCCGGGCUACACACGUGCUACAAUGGUCGGUACAAAGGGUUGCCAAGCCGCGAGGUGGAGCUAAUCCCAUAAAACCGAUCGUAGUCCGGAUCGCAGUCUGCAACUCGACUGCGUGAAGUCGGAAUCGCUAGUAAUCGUGAAUCAGAAUGUCACGGUGAAUACGUUCCCGGGCCUU